GACGAACGCUGGCGGCGUGCUUAACACAUGCAAGUCGAACGGAAAGGCCCUGCUUUUGUGGGGUGCUCGAGUGGCGAACGGGUGAGUAACACGUGAGUAACCUGCCCGUGACUUUGGGAUAACUUCAGGAAACUGGGGCUAAUACCGGAUAGGAGCUCCUGCUGCAUGGUGGGGGGUGGAAAGUUUCGGCGGUUGGGGAUGGACUCGCGGCUUAUCAGCUUGUUGGUGGGGUAGUGGCUUACCAAGGCUUUGACGGGUAGCCGGCCUGAGAGGGUGACCGGGCACAUGGGGACUGAGAUACGGCCGAGAGUCCUACGGGAGGCAGCAGUGGGGAAUAUUGCACAAUGGGCGGAAGCCGGAUGCAGCAACGCCGCGUGCGGGAUGACGGCCUUCGGGUUGUAAACCGCUUUCGCCUGUGACGAAGCGUGAGUGACGGUAAUGGGUAAAGAAGCACCGGCUAACUACGUG
This 468-nucleotide ribosomal RNA is filed under the name uncultured bacterium. RNAcentral's name for it is "partial 16S ribosomal RNA". It matches the Rfam family "Bacterial small subunit ribosomal RNA", at positions 28 to 507 of the family's 1533-position model. The record is from RNAcentral.